GGAUGUGAGGGUGAUCUGACUCUGACAUCUGUCACCCCACUAUCACCAGGGUUGAUUCACUUGAUGUGGCUGUCUAGGCAGUGCCGUCUUUCUCCCUCAUGCAUCCCUCCUAAAGCUGCACAUUGAGUAGAAGAGGACAACUUUCGCUGAUGGCAGAGAGUUGUUCUUCAAUCAAGCAGCUGUGCUCCCUGCUAAAACCUCCAAAUAAGCUCUCAAAGUCCAUUUGCAGGAAAAUGUGGGGUAGUCAAGCUUCCAAGACUCCAGACAGAUCCAUAUGAAGUGCUGUUUGUGGCAGUCUGUCUCUCUUC
This is an unclassified non-coding RNA of 308 nucleotides. Its record names the gene 7SK. It matches the Rfam family "7SK RNA". Rfam says of the family: 7SK was discovered as an abundant small nuclear RNA in the mid-70s but a possible function has only recently been suggested. Two independent studies have found that 7SK RNA binds the CDK9/cyclin T complex (known as elongation factor P-TEFb). The record is from Ensembl.